CCCGACCGCAGUCCCUGGAGGAAAAGGCAAAGUAGGCUCUCAAAGGAAAGAAAGAAAGAGGUUCGGCUGGAAGAGACAAUGUCCAAGGAAGUGGCUGGCCAGAUUCACAAGCAUCAGACCCUCCAAAAGUGCCCAUUGUCUCAGGAUCUUCACUCUUGGGUCUCUCUCUUUAACAGCAGGCCCGACUCCUAGUCAACAGCUCUUCAAGAUCAACAGGUGCCAAGUGAAGGCUUGGCUAGGAAGAGGGCAAGAUGGGGUGCCCAGGACCAUGAACAGGGGUAGAAACAAAGGAUGACUUUGACCCUGGAGUUCUUGCAGCAGCGACUGACUGGUGGAGGAGUCCGGGGAUCUGUGGCCCUUGCUCAGAGGGAAGGAAGCUCUCCAGCCAGAGAACCAAGGCUGUCUGUCAGCAGCUGCCAGAGUUCAAGAGUCUUUCCAGAGCCCUGGUCCCAAGGUUCUGGUCCAGAGGAGCCCAGCCAAGUUCUCCCCCAGCCCCUCCAGCACCCCAGGGCGUUACAGAAAACCCCGCUUGCAAGAUGUCUGGACCCCCACUCCUUGAUUAUAUUAAUGCCAAAAUGUAUUAAAGAAGCGUGGUAGAAAUGCUAUUCUAA
Rattus norvegicus (Norway rat) is the source of this 611-nucleotide non-coding RNA. The record is from RefSeq and is a predicted model, not a curated record. Lineage: Eukaryota; Metazoa; Chordata; Mammalia; Rodentia; Muridae.